CUGUGAGUUUCUUUUUCAAGACUUCUUCCUCUUCUUUAGUUAGCUUGGGCUCUGUUUUUUGCAAACCACAGAAUAAAUCAUAAGUCUUCUUGAGACAUCCACGAGGUUUCUCCGUUUGAUCUGGAACAAAGAAAGGGAAAUAAACCAUCACCAAAUAUGGAUGAACAUCUGUUUAGUGUUGUAGAGAUGUCUGUAAACGGUGACCACAAUUUUUAUAAGAGCCAGAAGAAUACUGAGAAAAUAUUUGUAAAUUUGACUAUAUAAAGGUUGAAAAGUAUCCCCCAAAGUGAGUUUAAAAAGUGACUAAAUGGGGGUAACAAGGGGAAGGGAUUUGCAUGCAAUACCACAGAGGCUUUUCUGGUCUCAACAUACAACGGGUUUUUGAAAUUAAAAAAAGAAAAGAUCAUUUAGAGAGCCAUUUAAAUACUAUAGAGUUGACAAACAACUUAAAAAAUAAGUUAUCUUAAGAUCACUUCAAAAAUUAAAAAUAUAUUACAAUACUUGUUUUCACAAUUGUUGGCAAAAAUUCCAGUAAUGUGCUUCAUGAAAAUAUCUUUGUGACACUAUCCUAGGAUCUUGGCGUGUGUAAAGAGAGCCGAGGCAUCCCUCCUGCUGUAGCUUUACUGGGUAGAAUACUAAGAAAUGAGGUUGAGGCUAGACACUUGAUCAAAAGAUGUGAAGAUGGAAGUCACAUGUAACUGAAUGUCAUCUCAGCACCUGGCGGGUAGAAGGAUACACACCAGGUGGUCGAUAAAAUACAAAAGAAGAUAAAAAUGUAUAUAUCGAAAUCCCCAGGAAGCCGCACUAUGGAAACCAAUACUGCAAGAUGGCGAGCACGAAGACAGCUGCGAUAGGAGGCCCCAGGUAGCUAGAGAUGGACUCUGUAUAGUGGAUCAGCUGUCCACCCUGAGAUACUUCUACGAUGGGGACCCACAGGAUGCUGGUGACAAUCAACACAGCGACAAACAGCCUAUAAAAAUAAUUAAUUACAGACAUUAAACGACAGCACCGCAUGUGUAUUUGCUGAGUUUUUAAAUUUAUCCCUGAGCCAUUCAUUCAUGCUCAAAAUAAAACUAUGUUCCCUGAACUGAUAGGAACCCACGCUGUGCUAACCGUCUGCUGGUUCACCGUCGACAAUUCUUACCUAAACCUGCCGUAAAGCUUCAGUUAGAGAGAACUGAAGGAGUUUCCGUAAGAAACUUCCGUAAGAUGCUUCCCAAGCCACUUCGAUUGCUUUCUGUCACACGCUCGAGUGGUCCAGCAUGAGCUGGCUUCUGGAUACCUUGGUAAGCUGUGUUCACCUUGUUUUCUCACUUUCUCCCUGGGGACAGCCUUAUUCCUUGUUACAAAGCUGCCACAUGCAUGGCUUGCAUGGUGUUCUCACUGUUCCUGUCCCACAUAGCCACGGACUCCCCUGCCGCAACUUCAAGACUUCACUCAAGUGCCACCUCCACAGGGACACUUCCUGGCCUUAGGUCCCUGGCAUCCUUUCACUCUGGCUUACUUUUGUCUCCUCCCCCUACUAUUUUUAGAUUAUUUUCAUAAAAUUUAUUCUGAUUCUGAUUCACCUGCUGCAGCUGUGUUUAUCUAUCUGCCCUACAGAGACAUAGCGUGCUUACAUGAAGCAAGCAUUUUUUUUUUUUUUACAUUUGUAUUUUGGGAGAUUGACAUUUGAUAAGAAAGAUGAAACAGAUAUUACUUUGUCAGUGAGAUUUGAAAAGGAUUUGCCUCCAAGAUGAUGUAUUGACUAGUGGGACCACCGUAUCCUGAAAAUCAGCCCGGAAAAACAAACAAAGAAACAAAACUAUGGCUAUCCGUUUUCUUCUUCAACAGCCUUUCUCCAGUUAAUAUCGGGGACAAGUGAGGUCCUCUAGGUUUCUAUUCCCAAGUGUUUAAUUUAUUAAAGCUAUUGCUACUGUCAAAAGCAAGGAGGACUAUGUAAGUAGGUGGUGAGUUUCCCUUGAUACCAACUUCACAAGAAAGCGGGCAGUGCCCUUCCGAGACUGCUCUUUACAGACACCGCGCUUCUCAGGAUUCUGUGGGAGAGCUUCUAGCCCCAAACCACAGUGAGAAACAUGGAGAACAGGCAGGUCUCACAUAAGGAACAAGGAUAGGAUUAUUCCAGUUUCUCUUCUAACUAGCUGAGGAGUUCAGAGAUGAACUUGAAGUGGUCCUCCACAGGUAAAUGAUAACUUGUUUUCAUUAAUGAAGAAACAUGCUCUAUGUAUAUUAUUCAAUAUUGAUAACUGUAAAAGGAAAAUUACUGCUCUCUUACCUUACCACCUAUUUUACCAAUCUAUUUCUUCUAAGUCAAAAUAAGUCAUAAUCACAUGGAAAGUUAAACCAAAGCCACAUGGCAUGAACAGUAGAGCAGAUGAAUGCUGAGGUUUUAAGAUAUUGAAUACCAUACAGCAAGAGACUGAAAGAAAAUACACCUGGAAACAUCACUGCAUGCCAUAAAAUACCUUGAGCCAAAGACACCAUCUAUCAUGAAAUGUGUGCCGAUUUACUGUAUUUUUGAUAAUCUAAAGCAGGAAGACUCAUUAAUAUCAUUAGAUGUUAUAGUGG
Long non-coding RNA from Alexandromys fortis (reed vole), 2568 nucleotides. RefSeq lists it as uncharacterized. The transcript is spliced from 4 exons. NCBI's taxonomy places the organism in Eukaryota, Metazoa, Chordata, Mammalia, Rodentia, Cricetidae. The record is from RefSeq and is a predicted model, not a curated record.